AGCAUGAAGCCCCCCUCAAGAUGAGAUUUCCCAACUUCGGUUAUAAGAUCCCUCAAAGAUGAUGAGGUUAAUAGGUUCGAGGUGGAAGCAUGGUGACAUGUGGAGCUGACGAAUACUAAUCGAUCGAAGACUUAAUCAA
RNAcentral lists this ribosomal RNA (139 nucleotides) under Staphylococcus aureus. RNAcentral's name for it is "partial 23S ribosomal RNA". It matches the Rfam family "Bacterial large subunit ribosomal RNA", at positions 2784 to 2925 of the family's 2925-position model. The record is from RNAcentral. Lineage: Bacteria; Bacillati; Bacillota; Bacilli; Caryophanales; Staphylococcaceae.